Molecule: long non-coding RNA, 556 nt
Filed under: Vitis vinifera (wine grape)
Lineage: Eukaryota; Viridiplantae; Streptophyta; Magnoliopsida; Vitales; Vitaceae
Description: long non-coding RNA (VVIN_LNC006235)
Source: RNAcentral
UGUAUGUAUUGAUAUUCGAGGGUCACUUGAUCGAGUAUGUUUGUUGACGGGAGUUCGUAUGUGAGCUUCUCGGGAUCCCUCAGGCUUUGUAUUCAUUUUGUUGCAUGCUUUGUGAGCGAGAUGAGUGACUUUCUCUUAGGAGCUCUGGGUUAUUGUCCGUUCCAUCAUUAUGUUCGUAGUUGAUGUGACUUCACUCCAUGUCUGAUCUGAGUUGAUCAUCACUCCUUUUGAUGUUAUUCGCUUCAUUAUCAUCGUCCUCGUUUUCGCUUCUGAUUCAUCAUUCUCACUUCACCUCUUAUUCUUUUCUUACCACGACCCAUCUCGGGUUUGAUAUUCCCUUCGUAUCACCAUUACAUAUCUCAUUAUCAGUUUGAUUUGCUUCACUUGUCUCCUCAUUGACACUAUGUUCACAUUAGGCACCAUUAGGUCCAUGGCUCACAGGAUUUACUAUACUUGUUGCAUUUCAUACAUGAGGGCAUGGGUUUUGAUCAUCGGGUAUUUGAGCUUAGUUUCCCUUCGUUUCUAUCACCCUAUCACCCUAGCCUACAUUACGUCC